ACGAACUGCGCGAACGUUAUUCGGAAUCACUGGGCUUAAAGGGUGCGUAGGCGGCCUGUUAAGUAGGGUGUGAAAUUUGUCGGCUCAACCGGCAAACUGCAUUCUAAACUGGCAGGCUUGAGUGAGUCAGGGGUGUGCGGAACUUCCGGUGGAGCGGUGAAAUGCGUUGAUAUCGGAAGGAACGCCGGUGGCGAAAGCGGCACACUGGGGCUUUUCUGACGCUGAGGCACGAAAGCUAGGGGAGCGAACAGG
Molecule: ribosomal RNA, 252 nt
Filed under: uncultured bacterium
Lineage: Bacteria
Description: partial 16S ribosomal RNA
Rfam family: Bacterial small subunit ribosomal RNA
Source: RNAcentral